RNAcentral lists this ribosomal RNA (223 nucleotides) under uncultured bacterium. Its description in RNAcentral is "partial 16S ribosomal RNA". It matches the Rfam family "Bacterial small subunit ribosomal RNA", at positions 524 to 744 of the family's 1533-position model. The record is from RNAcentral.
UACGUAGGGUGCAAGCGUUGUCCGGAAUUAUUGGGCGUAAAGAGCUCGUAGGCGGUCUGUCGCGUCGGCUGUGAAAACCCGGAGCUCAACUCCGGGCCUGCAGUCGAUACGGGCAGACUGGAGUUCGGCAGGGGAGACUGGAAUUCCUGGUGUAGCGGUGAAAUGCGUAGAUAUCGGGAGGAAUACCAGUGGCGAAGGCGGCUUGACUGGCCCAUUCCUGGAC